CCUACGGGCGGCUGCAGUGGGGAAUUUUGGACAAUGGGGGCAACCCUGAUCCAGCCAUUCCGCGUGAGUGAAGAAGGCCUUCGGGUUGUAAAGCUCUUUUGUCCGGAGCGAAACGGGCGGCCCUAAUACGGUCGUCUACUGACGGUACCGGAAGAAUAAGCACCGGCUAACUACGUGCCAGCAGCCGCGGUAAUACGUAGGGUGCGAGCGUGGCUCGGAAUGACUGGGCGUAAAGCUGUAACAGAGGUGUGAAAUCCCCGGGCUCAACCUGGGAAUGGCAGUUGGGACUGCAAGGCUGGAGUGUGGCAGAGGGGACUAGAAUUCCUGGUGUAGCAGUGAAAUGCGUAGAUAUCAGGAGGAAUACCGAUGGCGAAGGCAGGUCCCUGGGUUAACACUGACGCUCAUGCACGAAAGCGUGGGGAGCAAACAGGAUUAGAUACCCGAGUAGUC
Molecule: ribosomal RNA, 450 nt
Filed under: uncultured bacterium
Lineage: Bacteria
Description: partial 16S ribosomal RNA
Rfam family: Bacterial small subunit ribosomal RNA
Source: RNAcentral